ACUUGGAGUAACCCCAGAGUGCAGUCUGGACGAUGGGGCGGGGCGACACUUCGAGGCGGAGCGACACGUGUCGCCCCGCCCAUAUUUGUUUUCCCCGCCUUUGACAUUUUCCUCCGAGCCAGCAGGGGGCAGUUUGCGUUGAAACAAACAGAACGGUGGCAACUACAGCAGCAGAGUAAUAACGCUAUUCCGUUGAUUGCUUGAGGAUGACAUGAUCAGGAGGUGGUGGUGUUCUGUUCUCCUGGACAGCUUAUAUCUCUCCUGAUACUCCGCAAAUAGCUCAACCACUGAGGAGAACUUCACCAUUCACCAUGUCUUCAGGCAGAGUCCAGCAAAGCAGCUUCCACUGGAAAUCCUCAGGGAAGUUAUUUUGUCGGCGGGUGACUCUGCAUAUUUGACACUUUCUCUGGUUUGCAGAUGGUUUAGGGUUGUGCUCCGAAGUUUUUCGGAAAGCGGCACAGUUUGCCUGGCUAGAGAUUGUGGCCAACUGGAAGAAUUGUCCUCCUGUCUCCUGACCGGAACGAGUUCAGACGGAUGUACAGCAUCAGGGAAUGCUUGCAGUGCAGAGCCCUUUUCAAGGUUAACCCAACAGGGUACAGGGAAGGGACCGGCGUGGUGAUCUUCUGGGCUUUUGUUUACACAGGAUUUUGUUCCAAGGACUUUUUUUUUUUUUUUUUUUUUUUUUGCGGCAUGAAACACAUUUGUGUGUUAAGUUCAUUGAAGGGAAAUAACUGGUUUUGAUUAUUAAUUGAUGUAAUUUAAAGUUAAACUUUGCACUGUAUAAUGUUUUAAUAAAAAAGCUAUGGAAAACACGUGCAUGACAACAGGUUUCAGUCAUUUACAUCAGUCUAUCAUUCUUUAAGGUUUCUCAUAU
Molecule: long non-coding RNA, 874 nt
Organism: Carassius gibelio (silver crucian carp)
Lineage: Eukaryota; Metazoa; Chordata; Actinopteri; Cypriniformes; Cyprinidae
Exons: 5
Source: RefSeq, a predicted model, not a curated record